This 2133-nucleotide ribosomal RNA is filed under the name Triticum aestivum (bread wheat). Its description in RNAcentral is "partial small subunit ribosomal RNA". The record is from RNAcentral. Lineage: Eukaryota; Viridiplantae; Streptophyta; Magnoliopsida; Poales; Poaceae.
AUGGACGAUGCAUGUUCACGGCCAACGCUUAUGCCACUCGAUUUAUUACGAGAAAUUACUAAUGGUUUCUCCGAGGAGCGGAGACUUGGUAGCGGUUCGUUUGGAAAGGUUUAUGAGGGAGUGCUUCAAGACGGGAAAAAGAUAGCUGUGAAGAUGCUCUAUGAUAUGCCCGGACUCGACGAUGAGCAAUUUAAGAACGAGUUUAAGAAUCUGACAUGGCUCCGACACCAAAAUAUUGUGCGGUUAGUUGGCUAUUGCUACGAUAUUCAGGAAAUACAAGUAAUGCACGAAGGAAGGUUGAUUCUUGCUGAAAGGACACAUAGGGCGCUCUGCUUGGAGUAUAUGUCUAAAGGAAGCCUUGAAAAUUAUCUUUCUGAUGAAUGUGAUAGAUAUGAUUGGCAUACAGGAUAUGGAAUAGUUAAUGGGAUUUGCCAGGGUUUGAAGUACCUCCACAAUGAAUUAGAACCUCCCAUUUAUCAUUUGGAUUUAAAGCCAGCCAAUGUAUUGCUGGAUGAGAACAUGGUUCCCAGGAUUGCAGAUUUUGGGAUGUCAAGGCUCUUCACAGAUGAACAAACACGAGCUACAAGAAGCUCUUUAGGAACAUUUGGGUACUUGCCACCGGAAUAUAUACACAAUAAUUUAAUCUCAAAUAAGUUCGACAUAUUCAGCUUGGGUGUUGUAAUUAUAAAGAUAAUGGCAGGACGUGCGGGCUACUUCAAUAGCGCUGAAAUGCCAUCCCGGGAAUUCACUGAUCUUGUGCAGGAAAAGUGGACAACUAAGCUACUUGAAACAUUUAAUCUGAGGAAGGCAUAUUCUGCACAAGUAAGAAUAUGCAUUAAAAUAGCUUUAAGUUGUGUGCAGGAGGAUCGACAUAAAAGGCCAACUAUACAGGAUAUUGUUGAUAGACUGAAUAAUACAGUAGCUAAGUGUACUGAUGCGGCAAGAAUGGACUGGUUCUUGAUUUACCAGGACAGUUUAGGUCAUUUAACUCAACCUGGAAACAUAUCUAAUCUCCAUUGUGAACAAGAAACUCCGUCUAAAAACAACCCUUCCCCAUCUUACGAUAUGGAGGCUGAUAAGAACAUUUUCCCUCGGUAUGCUCAAGAUCCAAUUGAUAAACAUGUCAACCAUAUAUACCAUGGAUCCACUUUUAAUCAGGAUACAGCAACAAUUAUUCACUCUACUUGUUUUGAAGAAAAUGCUAGUCCUACAAAAGCAGUAUUAGAUGGUGACUCGCCGAAUGACAAUCAAGAGUACUCAGCUGAUGGUAAUUCAUUACCUGGUGUUGAGGGAUUUCAAAUUUCCGGCGAUCCUAAACCAGGAUCUACUUUAAGAGCAUGCGGUUUUUCUAUAAAUGGUACUACAGUUUGUCAUAUCCAGUGGGUUCACUAUCUUAAAGAUGGGACCAGGCAUUCUAUUGAAGGUGCUACGACGUCUGACUAUGUGGUUACUGCAGAUGAUGUUGACACUCUUCUUGCUGUAGACUGCACUCCUAUGGAUGAUAAUGGUCGCCAGGUUGGUAAUUUGGUGAUGGAAUUUGCUAACAAUGCCAACAAGAUAACCUGCGACCCAGAACUGCAGAAUGACGUCAAUAUAUGUAUUUCAAGGGGGAGAGCCGACUUUGAUGUUUUUGUCCUGCAGAUGUAUUCUCCUGAGGAAUGGGAACAUGCCACUUUAGUGCUUAGACGAACUGGAUAUCAAGUUAACUUAAGCCGUAAGGAUGAAAUUUUAAUUGACGAGAAAUAUUCACCAAAUGUACAGAUAAAAAUUCCCAUUGGACGAACUACUCAGUUUAUUUUAGUAAGCUCUAGGGGUGUAAAUCUACCAUUUAAUACACAGGGCAUAACAGAGCCCAGUACCGAGGAUAAUGACAUAAGGCUACGCGAUCUAACCGUAUUGGUCUUUAGAGCCUUCCAGAAUAAGACACCGCUAUCUUCACUCGUCCUCCCAAAAGAAACAGAUGCCAUUUCAUUUGCAAAGGAAAAAAAUAUAGAUGACAUUCCAUCAUCGAGCACGAAGAAUCCCAUCGCUGAGCCACCUGCCUUCUUGUCGAAGAAGAGAUGGCUUAGUUCCUUUUUCAAAAGGAAAGGCAAGGGCCUAGCUAGAUGUGCCAGCCAAGAAAAUUCCCUUUAG